RNAcentral lists this long non-coding RNA (295 nucleotides) under Linum usitatissimum (flax). RNAcentral describes it as "long non-coding RNA (LUSI_LNC000890)". Lineage: Eukaryota; Viridiplantae; Streptophyta; Magnoliopsida; Malpighiales; Linaceae. The record is from RNAcentral.
CUUAAAAGAAUGUUGACCAUAAAAUUCGGAUCCGAUUCGAUACAAAUCCAAAUAAUCAAUUAAACCGGAGAGAAGCAAAGUAAUUACUAAUUAGUAGUAUACUAAAUUAAACGAAAAAUACAAAAUGAGGAAAUGAAAAAAUAAAUAACAAAAGAAAUUGUUUUCAAACUUUUAAUAAUAAUAUAUGAUAAUAACAACCUGCCAAUUCCUAAUUUCCCGGGUCCGCCGCGGCGGGGUUUUGGAUUGUUAUUGGACCUCCGCCGCCGCCGGGGAGAGAAUCUCGGCGAGAGCCGCC